AUGGAUACAUUGGAUAGCUUAGUUUUGUUCUAUAUACUUUGUAGUUUCAAUGAUGAGACAUAUGUGUCAACUAUGAGUAUUGGCUCCAACAAUUCUCAUUGGUCUCAAACCAAUGAAGUGCAUUUAGAUGAUCAUGAGUUUGAGGUGGACGAGGAUGGUGAGGGUAUCGUCGAUGCACCGAAAGGAAGAGCGGGCAACUACACCAUGGACAAAGACAUCUUGCUAUGCAAUACAUGUUGA
This 240-nucleotide ribosomal RNA is filed under the name Triticum aestivum (bread wheat). Its description in RNAcentral is "partial small subunit ribosomal RNA". Lineage: Eukaryota; Viridiplantae; Streptophyta; Magnoliopsida; Poales; Poaceae. The record is from RNAcentral.